Molecule: non-coding RNA, 111 nt
Organism: Marasmius fiardii PR-910
Lineage: Eukaryota; Fungi; Basidiomycota; Agaricomycetes; Agaricales; Marasmiaceae
Source: the annotation of a GenBank genome assembly
GGGCUCAUGGUCUAGUGGUACGAUGCUCCCUUCGGGAUAGGUUCCCCCCCCGCGCGAUAGUUGCGCAUAAAUCCAUGGGAGAGGUCCGGAGUUCAAUCCUCCGUGAGCCCC